UCCAGGGUAGCCUAGUGGACAUGCCAUCUGCCCGGUAAGCGGAACACUGUGGGUUCGAUUCCCAUCCCUGGAC
Cordylochernes scorpioides is the source of this 73-nucleotide non-coding RNA. NCBI's taxonomy places the organism in Eukaryota, Metazoa, Arthropoda, Arachnida, Pseudoscorpiones, Chernetidae. The record is from the annotation of a GenBank genome assembly.